RNAcentral lists this ribosomal RNA (500 nucleotides) under uncultured bacterium. Its description in RNAcentral is "partial 16S ribosomal RNA". It matches the Rfam family "Bacterial small subunit ribosomal RNA", at positions 30 to 523 of the family's 1533-position model. The record is from RNAcentral.
AUUGAACGCUGGCGGAAUGCUUUACACAUGCAAGUCGAACGGCAGCACGGACUUCGGUCUGGUGGCGAGUGGCGAACGGGUGAGUAAUGUAUCGGAACGUGCCCAGUCGUGGGGGAUAACGUAGUGAAAAUUACGCUAAUACCGCAUACGAUCUAUGGAUGAAAGCGGGGGAUCGCAAGACCUCGCGCGAUUGGAGCGGCCGAUAUCAGAUUAGGUAGUUGGUGGGGUAAAGGCCCACCAAGCCAACGAUCUGUAGCUGGUCUGAGAGGACGACCAUCCACACUGGAACUGAGACACGGUCCAGACUCCUACGGGAGGCAGCAGUGGGGAAUUUUGGACAAUGGGCGAAAGCCUGAUCCAGCCAUUCCGCGUGCAGGAUGAAGGCCCUCGGGUUGUAAACUGCUUUUGUACAGAACGAAAGGGUUUCUACUAAUACUAGGAGCUCAUGACGGUACUGUAAGAAUAAGCACCGGCUAACUACGUGCCAGCAGCCGCGGUAA